UUGUAAAUCAAUUAACAUGACUGUAAAAAUAUUUAAUCCACUGAUCAUUAAGUCCAUUCUUACAUCUUAUAAUAACCGCAUCAUGUCUUUAUCAAAUAGAAGAUAUAACGGUCUAUAACCCAAAUAAACUCAUAUCUAUACAAGAAUAGUAAAACAUAAAAGAGGACAUUUAACAUUGAUACUCGAAAAGAGGACAAAUAGUUCUCCGCUUCUUUUUAACUUUGCAUCUCUCUUCGUAUCUAUAUAUACUCUAUUAUUUAACGACCAACAAAACUUAUACCACUGCUAAAUUGGAACAAUAUCUACCACUGCACAGAAUUUACUCUACGAAGCACACGUGGUGGUCUUCGCUUCUCAACAACUGGAAUGAGGUUCUCCAUUAGCUGCAAUGUUACAAUCAAACAAAUAACAUCCACAACAAAUACACAAAAUUGUUAGAAUUUAUAAUGGACAUACUCUAGCAAUGAACUACUGAAUCAAAAUGGUUUUUUUUCAAAUUUCAUGUAUACAGAGAUCAGAUAUGCAUUGGACACAAAAAUCUAUCAAAUCAUAAAAAUCAAAGUUGCAUGGAAAUGCUUUUAGGCAAUCAAAAUUCAGUAGACAGUGCAUGACCAAGGAUAAUACCAAAGCUUUUGGAGGAUAUAGGUGAAAAAUGUAUACGAAUGAUAUAAAAGAUAGAUCACACAGCGUGACGCCCACAUCAAACACCAAGCUCACACAGCAUUAUCCACCGUUUUUUCAUCUAAAUUUUUUCAAUUAUAUACAUCAGAUAUUUUCCAUUAUAUUUGCAGUAAUUCAAUCACACCAGCAGGGUUGCUAUAUGAUCUGGCUUGGUCUUCAAAUCUAGUCAUUACUAAUACUAGCCUUCUGUAAAUAGUCCAAUCUAGCUCACAUAUUCAUAGGCUGGCAGCAGCUAAUCCCUGCUAGGCUGAUCCACAGUAAAAAAUUUUCAGAAAUUCCACAGCUUCCAUAACAAACAAAAUGAUCUUUAAUUUCAUAAAAUGCCAAUUGAUGGGUUCUUAUUUGAAAUAACAGAGAAUAGAUAAAGAAAGUUGCAAGGGAUUAGAUAAACCAAGGUUCUAAUGCUUAAAUCCUUUUAAAAUUGCCAACCGUAAGCCAAACUCUAUCUUGAUAUCUUGCCCUUCUACCGUUCAAAUUGAAAUUUGGCAAGCAUACACUCUCUCUAUAUUUACUGGACUUCAAACUGAAGUAGGUUUCAUCUGCAACACUAUGUCAUAACCAAGGGAUAUCCUCAUGGAUAUGCUUUGUAACUGGCUCGUGGCCAAAGCCAAUCCUUGGUGGAGUCCAACUCAGACAGUGAAAUCUUUUUCGCCAACUGUUCAAACACUUGGGAGGAUACCCUUCAUGCAUGUCCUUCGACACUGCUAUACAUACAUAUUCAACACUGCUCUGUACCCAGUGUAUAUAUCCCCUUACUACAAAACUCAACGUAGGACAUCUCUCAGACUGUCAAGGUUUCUCUAGGUCAAUAAAAACCACUUAUUCCUUUCUGUUCUCCUAGAGCUCCUCUAUCAAAACUCUUACUAGAAAAUUGCUCCCAUAGUUUAUGUUAUGGACCAGACCAAGAUGGUGGGAUCAGCAGGGAUGAAACAAGACCAGGAGGUCUCAGGGUGCAUUUUCAAAAGAAGAAUAGGAUGGGAGAAUCAAGGAACAAAGAGCUAGAAAGAAUAUGGAUGGAGGGGCCAACUUGACCAGAGAAGAUCACCAAAGGAGGCUGCCUGUUGAUUCUUCUGGUAACAAAGCACAGCAACAGCAAUAAAGAUGAUAUAUAAAGGAAUCAUGAAGAAUGGGAGAGACAUGUGAGUAAUUUCAGUCAAUCAAUGGCGUUAUUGCUAGGGCAGUAGUUACCAUUCUCAUUGUAAUUCUGUUUCCUUGGUUUAUUUUACUUGUAUUCAAUCAGUAGUUGAGGAGUCUCCGUGUUCUGUGUUAAAGGAGAUUGAACUAGUGUAUUACUGUUACUCUCUCAGUGAAAAUUCAGUACAAAUUACUAUUUUCCUCUUUUUUAUUUGAGUUUUUAACUCUUAUCAAUUUGGUUGACCUGCCAGAUCUGCAGUAAGAAUGAAUCGCCAAAACUAGGAUGGAGUUCGAAGUGGAAAUGGCAGAGGAACUUAGGCUCCUUAACCCUUCGUCUGGCAUAAUUCAUUUUGAAAGAAAAGAAUUCAAAAGAAUCCUUACAAAAUUAUGAUUAUGAAAGAUUUCAACUUCUUUUAAAAUGAAUUUUUCUAGGUUAAAAAGAAUUGAAUUCUUUCAUUUCAAAAAAGAGAAUUGUUAGAAAAGAAAUCAAUUGAAGUGAAUUCAUAUGAAAUUCUUGAUUCCAAAUGGAGGUAGAUGAAAGUAUACUCAAAUUAUAAAAUGAUGGUGGACAAAAAGAUCUCUGGUUUCCAGGCCCAUGGAAAGAGAUGAUGUAGACACAAAAACUAACAGCCACGAAAAAAGAAAAGGGAGGGGGGGGGAGAAGAAGUUUGAGUUAAAUGGUCAGGACCCUGUGGGAUGGCUAGCCCGGACAGAUCAAUAUCUCAUCAUACAUCAGCAGAAAAUAAAAUGGAAGUCAAUUUAGCAAUGGUGUGAAGAGAGGUUGUUGCUUUGCCCCUGAGUACAGAUGCAUCGACCCUCCCCAACAUGACAUGAGAGCAACAUCCACUGAUCUGCUACAACAUUAUGGUGGUGAUCCACUAACCAAUCUAUUUCAACUAUCGGCUGCAUUAAGGCAAGAGUGUAUUGUAGACAAGUUCAUUGACGAAUUUGUCCCUAGCACUUUUCAGCUUUUUUUUUUUGUUUAAAAAAAAGGUUACUUUCCAAAUAGGUUACGAGUGGACCAAGAACAAACAUAUAUAAAGGCAACAAAAUAAUGAAACCGAAAGUUGGACAAACAUAUCGCGGGCUACAAAUGUUCGAAUUAACAAUGUUAAAUUUGAGAAAAAAAAUACCAAGCUUGUUCCUAUGUUGCCACAACUCACAAUUUAAUGAAAACAAGGGGGAAAGAAAAGGAACUAGUCUAUGAAGUUGAAGAUGUUUGGAUGACCAAAAACAACUACGAAGAUCUGGAGAGGCAACGAAACAAAAGAGCUAGAGAUCAUGGGGUGUUAAGAUGAUAUAAUUUGUGAUUUGCAUAAUCACCUUUUUUGCACUUUGAUCCUGCACAUUGUCAGAAUCAUAUGUAAAUGCGAUUUUGUAACAAUGGCAGAGCCAAGUAAAUAGUACGAUUAAGGUAUAGAAGGAAAGGAAGAUAGAGUUGGGCGCACACAAGAACAAAUUCAAUAUGGAUUUUAUAACAAUGGCAGAGCCAAUCUGCAAUACAAUGUCCUAAAUAACGAGCAGUAAGUUUUGGAGAAAUGACAUGCUUAAAUGUGGUUUGAUGAUGAGAGCAAAGUUUCAAGAAGACCGAAUCUCCUACCUCAAACACAACUUCCAUUCUACAUUUCUUGGCAACUGGUGCCAUCCUUUGUUGUGCUUUUGAUAAAUUAAAGGCAUGUUGCUUCAAUAACUCAACUCUUGUUGACAAUAUCUUGUGCCACAGCUUCAACUUUAGUUUGACCUGGUAAGAAUUGUUGAAGAGUAGGAGGAUCCCUUGCAUAUACCACUUCAAAAGAAGUCAUUUCAGUAGCUGUCUGGAAGCUUGAAUUAGAGUUUUUCUUUUGUCGAAGAUAUUAAAUUAGAGUUGGAUUUCACCACUUGGGUUGGCCUACUUCACCAAACUCUUAGCCUAUACGCUGCACCAUGCUACUUCCAAUUACCAAGCUUAUCAAGGUUCACAAUUGAUGAAAAUUUUUGACCCCCUCCUCCUUGAGGCAUAUCAUUCGCCAUUCAUAAAGGAAAUUUGUCCUCAAAUUCGAUUAUUUGCAAAGGACAACAGCAGCACAUGAAUUUUGAAUCCCCCUUCUUAUCACUUCCUUUAUCGCCACAUACUCAUUCUUUCCCCUGUUAAGCACAUCAUGAUUCCUUUGUGAUAGAGGAACAAAAAUAUUUACAUACAUUUGGUACAAUGAUAGCCGCCUCUUCUUUUAUGGACCUGGAAGCAGCAAAAGAAAAUACAUCCUCAUUUCAAAUGGUUAGAGAAGAAGAGAUUACAUCCUCAUAUUGCUCUCCUUCUCCUCCUCCAUCAAAGCUUCCCUUCCCUCUCUUGCACGAUUGUCUCAUUCACAUCCUCCAUCUAAAGGUGGUGAGCUUAUGUCCACUUCUACCUUGACAACAACUAUUGUUAAAAGUAUUAGAGCUUACUUCUACCAACAGAUUUGCAUCUUGCUUCUUUGUUGAUCUAGAAGUUGAAUUGGAUAUGCACACACCAUGGAUGCAUUACUACUAUAUCUCAUAUGGUAGUUGGAUUAAUUUAUCUAAAGACUCAAAUGGUUGCAACUCCAAGAUUUUUGCAAUAUCAUAACUCAUAAUGUGUUAAGAGUUGGGACAACACUACUUGAUACAUUUUUUUAUGGAAUAUGUCCUAACAUGUUUCACUCUUUGGAAGCGCUACCAAAUCCCUAAGCUUCAAUACCAAACUGUUGUACCUAAUACAAAAACGAAUAAAGGAGAUUGUUUGGUAGCUUGGAAAUAAUAAGAUAUAUUUGAUCGAUAAUUAAAAUUUAAUAGUUUUAGACACAAUCUCAAGAAAACGAAAAAGAAUAGUUUCCUAGAAAUAAGAUAGCUAGAUUAUUGAAACUCUUUUCAUAAAGAUUAAAUAGCCACAAAAGAAGAGUCAACAACCCUAGGGACUCCACACCCAAAGAUGGAUGAUAAGCCAAUUAUUCACCACACUUGGGCAAGUGAUAAGAAGAUAAAAGCACAGAAAAUACCUAAAAAGAUCUUAAACUUAAAAGAAAAUUAAGCUUUUAUAUGCAUCUAAGCUAAACAUGAAAUCCUACUAUGAUAAGGUAACAUUGUACUACUUGAACUUGGGAAAAAAACAUGUCAAACCAAUGAAGAUGCACAUGCCACCUUGACUGUAUAAGCCUAAGAUAGUCUUCUCCAACUAAGUUUAGGAUAUAUAGAAUUGGUAAAAUAUUACUUCCUUAAUUUAAGGCAUAAAAUAAGAAGAUAUUUAAGCAAAUCUAACUUUUCUACAAACAGAAUUUGUCCAUUUCAGAUGAUGGCCAAAAAUCCAACUUCAUCUAAGAGAAUCUUGUUUAAAAAAAAAAUUAUAAGUUAAAUAUAUAUUAACUAUACAUUUUUUUUAAAAAAAAAAAAAAAGGUAUAAGCUAAAUAUAUAUUUGAAGCCAGAAGUUAAAAGCAUGUAGCCAAACCAAACAUACUUUAUAUUCAUGAAAUUAUGCCCAAACUGGUGUAGCAAGUACGUACUGGUACAAGUGCACUACAACCAAUUGAUUGGUUGCACAAGCAAUGAUGUCAUUCACAUAUUGAUACAUUAAAUUAACAAAAGAUAAUACUGGUCUUUAUUAUUCAUUGUUUAAUGAAUCUAGAGCAAAGAGUCCACGGGAGUAAUGAGCUUUGCAAAAGAAUUAUAAUAUUAUGAUUAUAAGAUUCUGUCACUAAAUAUUUCUAGUCAAUGCUCUGUAAAAAUUUGAAAUUGAUAACCAAAUAGCAAUAUAUAGUUUACAACAUAUCUAACAGUUGCCUCAUUUGCCACCUAUGGCUAGAUUGAUGCCCCAUUUGCCACCUAUGGUUAGAAUGAUGUAUAAACAAUAUUAAAACAUAGUAAUUCCCAUGUGAGAUAACUUAGAGAUCUCAAAUCUAACGAUUAUAACUUAGAGGUCUCAAGUCUAAUGACUAUUUACAUGAUUGGUACACGAGCCGUCCAUAGAAAAAAGCAAUUUCCAUAUGUGAUCGUCACACCUUAGUGAAUGAUAGAGCAUAGUUUAGUCCAUUUUAUAUUAAUAUUAUUGAUGAAUAUUUACACGAUUUCUGCUUAAUUUAUUGCUUUUAAUAUUAUUUUGCAGAAAAUGGUAUAAAAGGACAAUUUGGAGAAAAUGCUCCUAAAACCGCCUUAUUUAGAGCAAAAGAGAGCAAGCCUGCUAAGUUGGAUUCAAGUCAAGCUAAAUGAGGAAAAUAUUCUGAAAAUCAAAUAUUCAAGCAACUCAGCACUUGGGCCCGCACAUGGAUUCGCAAUUGGACGGCCCAUCCCCGCGCAUUCCCGCGUGAUCGCUUGCAACCAAGAACCCGCGCCUUCAUUUGCACUUGGGCCCGCUUAUGGACAGCCGGCUUGCACGUGGACCAGCGCGCUUCACCACUCCCGCAACGCAAAUGGGCCAAGCGCAUUCUCAGCACAUGGGACCCGCCAAAGCAUUUCCCCACCUUGCACUCACAGUAAAUGGCCCGCCUUCACUUCACGUGGACACUUCACGCAAAUGGGCCACAGCAACACUCGCGCACAAGCUCCAGCGUAUGACUUCUCCAACACGUGGACCAUGGACCCACCAAGCUCAACUCACAGCAAACGUGGCCCAUUCCCGCACACUUCACGUGGACCAAGCAUUCACGUGCUCAGCAUUUCACCGUGAUCCACUUCACAUGGACCAGCCCAUGGAUGCAUACAUGGCCGGCAAUUUACCAUGCACAUCCACAUGCACGCAUGGCCAGCCCGCAAAUGCAUGCUCCCACCGCACACUUCGCGUGGACCAUUCCUUCACGUGGACCACCAGCGCCACCUCGCCAUUCCUUCACGUGGACACUCGCACACUCGAUCCACUCUCAGGCCAGCAAUCUUCCAAAAUAGUGCGCCCCUCUGCACUUAUAAAUAGAGCCUUCAGUGGCCAAAUUAAAGGGAGAAUUCCUCCUCUCGGCAAAUUCCGCAAGCCAGCUCCUUCGGUUCUUUCUUUUUCCUUUUUUAUUUUAUUUUUUUAUUUUAUUUUUCUGUUUUUAAUUCAGCCAAUGGGUGGCUGAUUUCUUUCAUCUAGUUGAAUAUUGAUUGAAGUUUUAGUUGUUUAAUGGGUUGUGAGACUUGAUCAAAUAUUGUUUAAUUUUGGGAAUUCAAUAUUCAUGCAAUUUCAUAUUUAAUUCUCAUAUUAUUUUGUUAUUGAAAUCUACGUUGAUUUUUUAUUGCAAAAUAAUUAUUUGUUAGUUUGAAUAAUUUAAGUUCGUAAUUGCUUAGAUUAUUCUUACAUGAGAACACUUGGGAUAAAACCCAAGGAAAUUGCAUGAUCUAGCGUUAUCUCCAUACGUUUGGGUAGCUAGGAUUGGGUCUCUCUAUUUCUUAAUGUAAUUGACAAUUAUUUUGAUGCCUAAGGCCCAAGGACGUUCCUUGGCAAUUUGUUAAUUAGUAAUUAAUUAGAGGAUGUUCCCUAAUUGGUUUAAUCAUAAGGAGGGAUAAUGGUGGUGAGAAGCGUCUUCCAUCUCCAUAACUAAUCUAUUGAAUCAACCCAAAAGAACAAAGUGUCUGUGAUCAAUCCCAAUGACUAAAGUGGAUCCAAUACUUCAACUAGAGCUUUCUUAUUAUUUAUUUCUCUUUUAUUUUAUUAUUCGCUUAUUUUAAUUGCUUUUAGUAGUUUGUUAAUCAAAUCAAUCUCAAACCCCCCAUUUUACUUUACUGCAAUUUAUUUUUAUUCCGCUUUCAGUUUAUCUAAUUUUUUGUUUAUCUCAUUGUUUCAGUUUAUUUUAUUGGUCUUGUUGAGAAAAAUAAAUAGGUAAUCAAUUCUCUGUGGAUUCGAUCCUUCACUAUCUGCAGUUGUAAAUUGUUGAUAACCAAGAAGGUUAUUUUUGACCGGUUUCGACAACCGCGAGUCAGUGAACUUGUUAAAUCAAGCACCUACACACUAUUUUUAGGUAUCCUUAUACCUCAGCAUAUGGGGCAACUGCUUCCUUUCAUAAAUGAAAGAAGGUAUAUGUCACGUACUAUAGGAAGAGAUAUAAGAAUAAAGAUAAAGCUGUAAUCACUUAGUUUUGGAGGGAGUUUCAGUUGUGACAGCCGGUUCCAAAGGGAAGGAUCUCAAGGUUGUUAGAGUCUGUUACAAUAAGACAAGUACUGCUAUAAAUUGUAAAGAGACUCAAUUGUAAAGGCAUUCAAGAAUCCAAAUAAUAUCUCUACUUUCUCUCUCAUAAAUUUCUCAUUCUCUCCUCCCUUCUUCCUAAUUCUAUUUCUUAUCUCUCUCAAUUCUUCUCUUUCUUCUUCUCUAAUCUUCUUCUACUAAGUGAAUCUUUUGUUAGGUACAAAACCCGAACAAUUGGUAUCAGAGCAAGGUUUCAUGGAAGCAAAGCAGUCCAAUAAGAUCGGGACAAUGGCUCGAUCAGUGAUUGUAAGUCAAGAAAUGGUGAAGGUCGCUGUUAGAGUGUGAACAUAAUCUGUACAUAAUCAUAGACUAAUUGAUUGAUAGAAGAUUUUUAGGAGUUGCCUUAAUAAGAUCUUGUAAUCUGCAUAUAUACACACUUCAAUAGAGAAAAAAAUACAGAAAUUGCCCAAUUAUUCCUUAUCUUAUUUCAUGAUAUCAGAGCCUCUCCUGUAGGGAUUUGAAUUUUUUCUAUUCUGUUUGGAGACUUAGAGCUCCUGUUCUUUUAGGUUACCCAUAUAGGGUAACAUUUGUCUCUCAUUGCUCACCCAGGAAGGACGUCAGAGUCGCCUCGAAACCCCCUCAUCAGUUCUGUGGUCCGUUUGCCAUUUGGGUGUUGGGUGGAGGUGUUUUUGGUUUGGAUUGCAUUCUUAUACUAUUCAUGUCCAUUCUGGUACUAUUCACUUCCUGUUUUUCAGUGGUAGCCUACUGUUCAUUGGGUUAGAUUUUGUUAUCUUCCUUUAAUUCAUUUGAAGGUAUAGGAGUAUAGAGCUUUAGUUGAAAUGGUUUCUGAUAGUAAGACCCAUAUUAUUAAGAUUAUCCCAACGCCUUCAGUAGCGGUUGAGACAGGUAAAACUUGUCUUAUUUCCUCUUCAUAUAAAUUGGUCAUUGAUUCUAGUGCCACGGAUCACAUAUCAGGUAAUCCACAUAUUUUUACUAGCUUUCGAUCUCAUAAAGCACCUUCUCCUGUUAUUAUAGCUGAUGAGUCAACCUAUAAUGUUGAGAAUUCUGGGACUGUUAAAUCUACUCUUUUUAUUACCCUAUCAUCUAUACUAAGUUUACCUAAUCUUGUCUAUAAUUUAAUCUCUGUGAGUAAACUUACUAAAAACCUAAAUUGUUGUGUUUCCUUUUUUUUCUUAUCAUUGUCUCAUUCAAAAUCUUGUGACGAAGCAAAUUAUUGGUAAAGGACAUGUAUCUAGGGUCUCUACGUUAUGAAUGCAUGGGUGCCUCGGUCUGUUGCCUGCUCCAGUGUCGUGUCUUCGUUCGAAGCACAUUGUCGAUUGGGACAUCUUUCUUUACUACAUCUUUCUUUACUGGUUUUGAAGUUAUACCCUCAAUUUCAUGAGCUAUUUUCACUGGAAUGUGAGUCAUGUCAUUUUGCAAAACAUCAUCGAAGCUCUUUAAGUCCUAGAGUCAAUAAACGAGCUAAGCCUACUUUUGAAUUAGUCCAUUAAGAUAUUUGGGACCCAUGUCCGAUUGGAUCUAAGACUGGAUUCAGAUAUUUUGUCACUUUUGUGAAUGAUUACUCUAGAAUGACUUGGAUUUAUUUUAUGAAGCAUCGUUCGGAAGUGCUUUCUCAUUUUUCUAUCUUUUGUGCUAAAAUCAAGACUCAAUUUAAUGUUUCUAUGCAAAUUUUGCAGAUAAAGAAUAUAUGUCAGAAUCAUUCCAGUCUUAUAUGACCCAACAUGGUAUUCUUCAUCAAUCGUCAUGAGUUGAUACACCCGCUCAAAAUGGGGUAGCUGAAAGAAAGAAUCGACAUCUCCUUGAGACUGCUCAAACUCUAUUGUUUCAAAUGCAAGUUACUCGGCAAUUUUGGGCUGAUGCUGUCUCUACUGCAUACUUUCUCAUUAAUCGCAUGUCCUCCACAAUACUAAAUGGUAAUACUCCCUAUAAUGUCCUCUUUCCUAAGAAGCUAUUAUUUCCUCUAGAAUCACAACUUUUUGACAGAACUUGCUAUGUUCGGGAUGUCAAACCUCAUGUGACUAAACUUGAUCCUAAAGCUUUGAAGUGUAUUCUUUUGGAAUAUUCUCGUCUUUAGAAGAGGUAUCGGUGUUACUCUUCAGACCUCAACAAAUAUUUGGUCUCAACAGAUGUAGCAUUUUCCGAGCAAAUUCCUUUUUAUCCUAUUGCAUAAACCUCUUCUGAUCAAGAGGAGGACGAUGUGUGGCUCAUCUAUAGAAUCAUAUCUAAUGGUGGGACCUCUUCAAGCAUGCCUUCUGCUGUACAUUUCUGAUGGUAACAUUCCUCCUAGCACUCAGUCAAUUGUUCAAGUUUACAUUCGGAGACCAGUACCUGAUGAUACAUGUCCUACACCAGAAUCUUCUUCGCCAUCGGAUCCACUACCGAGUGACCUUGACCUCCCCAUUAGUCUUCGUAAAAGUAAACGACUGUGUAAGUCUACCUAUUUUGUUGCUAACUUUCUAUCUUAUGAUCACCUGUCUCCUUAUUCUACCUCCUUAAUUGUCUCUCUAGAUUCCAUUUCUUUGCCUAAGACAAUUAAAGAGACCCUGGCCCAUUUCUGAAUGGCGUGAUGCAAUGUUUGAAGAGAUCAAGGUUCUAAAUGAAAAUUAUACUUGGGAACUAGUUGAUUUACCCUCUGGCAAGAAGGUUGUGGGUUGUAAAUGGGUUUUUUCCAUCAAAGUCAAUCUAGAUGGUUCCGUAGCGAGGCUUAAGGCCCAUCUUAUCGUCAAAAGUUUUGUCCAAACCUAUAGCGUUAGACUUUUCUGACACUUUUUCUCCUGUGACAAAAAUGAUCUCGAUUCGCUUGUUCAUCUCCCUAGCUGCUUCUCAGCAUUGGCCUUUACACCAAUUAGAUAUCAAGAAUGCAUUUUUACAUGGUGACCUCCAAAAGGAGGUGUAUAUGGAGCAACCACCAAGAUUUGUUACUCAGAGGGAGUAUGAGAAAGUCUGCCGUUUGAAAAAAUCUGUGUGGUUUGAAGCAGAGUCCUCGUGCAUGGUUUCGCAAGUUCAGUGAAGUUCAAAAUUUUGGGUUGAAAAAAAACAAGUGUGACUAUUCAAUCUUCUAUAGAAAUUCAGAUACGGGUAUUAUUCUCCUUGUUGUGUAUGUUGAUAAUAUUGUCCUUAUAGGGAAUGAUAGUAUAGGGAUCUCUUCUCUCAAAAACUAUUUACAUGCGAGUUUUCAUACCAAAGACUUGGGUCAGCUUAAGAGUCGAAGUCUUAAGGAGUAAAAGGAGAAUUUUCCUAUCUCAAAGGAAGUAUAUCCUUGACUUACUUGCAGAAACCGGAAAGAUGGGAGCUAAACCAUAUAGCACACCAAUGAUUUCUAAUAUAUGUCUCACAAAGGAUGACGGAGACCCUUAUGAUGAUCCAGAAAGGUACAGGAAGUGGUUGGAAAGUUGAACUACCUCAUGGUGAUGACUCGGCCAGAUAUUGCUUUUGUAGUAAGCGUUAUAAGCCAAUUCAUGUCUGCACCUAUAGUGAAACAUUGGGCCGCUUUAGAACAAAUUCUAUGUUAUCUAAAAGGGACUCCUGGACUCAAUAUACUCUACAGUGAUCAUGGACAUACUGCACUUGAGUAUUUUUCUGAUGCUGACUAGGCGGGAUUUAAAAGUGAUAGAAGGUCAACUAAAGGCUACUGUGUAUUUGUUGGAGGAAACCUAAUGUCUUGGAAAAGUAAGAAACAAAAUAUGAUAUCCAAAUCCAGUACCAAGUCAAAAUACAGGGCCAUGGCUCAAUCCACUUGUGAGACUCUUUGGAUAAAUAAUAUGUUGAAAGAAGUUGGUACAGAUGUUGCGUCACCCGCGAAACUUUAGUGUGAUAAACAGGCUGCUCUUCACAUUGCUUCCAAUCCAGUAUACUACUAAUGGACUAAGCAUAUUGAAGUUGAUUGUCAUUUCAUCCGUAAAAAGAUUCAAGAAAAUUUAACCUCCACCAGUUAUACGAAGACAUGAGAGCAACUGGGUGAUCUACUCACCAAAACUUUAAAUGGGCCUCGAAUAGAAUAUCUUUCUAACAAGUUGGGCAUGAUAAAUAUCUAUACUCCAACUUGAGGGGGAGUGUUAGAGUGUGAACAUAAUCUGUACAUAAUCAUAGGAGAUUACAUAAUCAUAGGCUAAUUGAUUGAUAGAGGAUUCUUAGGAGUUGCCUUAAUAAGGUUUUGUAAUCUAUAUAUAUACACAUUUACUUCAAUAGAGAAAAAACACAAAAAUCUUAUCUUGUUUCAGUCGCAAAAUUGGAAGAACAAAUAAGAAAAUUCAAGAGGAACACAUUAGAGGUUAAAGAUAAGAUGAGUAACCUCGAAGCGACCAUCAAAAGGUCCUCUAGAGAUAACAAGGCCUUGAGGGAGGGUUUGUGAGCCUUUAUGAAGACUGUAUUGAUGGUUCGGAGCAAGAAUGUUGAUGCUGAGAAUGGAUCUUAGCAGUCUUUUUCCGGAGGCGGGCAGGGCACCAGAAGGAAAGGAAGGCUAAAAUAAAGGCCUAUUGCUUCUUCCCAAAGUAACUACUCAAUCAAAAGAAAUAGGUAACACUUCUAAUCCUUUUGUGAUUGCUGAGGGAAUUAAAAGAAUGUUACCUUUGAUUGAGUUAACCACAUUUAAUGGGAAAAAGUCUCAACCUAGAGUAUGACUCAAUAAGUGUUUGAAGUACUUUGAGAUUUAUCAAGUAUCACAAGUGUAGAGAGGUCAUAUUGCUAGUUUAUUUCUAAUAGAAAGAGCCAAUUCCUAGUUCCAUAAUUGGAAGAGAAAUAAAAUCAAGACCUGGGAACUCUUUGAGAAAGGAUUGUGUAAGGGGUUUUGGGAAGUAGGCUUAGAAGAUGUGGUGCAAGAAGUGAUAAGAAUAAGGCAAGAAGAGUCUGUAGAAGAUUAUCAAGACAAGUUUGAGGAGUUGAGAGUUCAAUUAGAGAGAGGCUUAUGCCAAAAUUGGGGGAAGCCUAUUUCUUAUCAGUGUUCAUUGGGGGAUUAAAGGAUGAUAUAAGGCCGGUUGUAAGGAAGAUGAAGCCUAGGAAUCUACCUUAGGCCUUUGAGAUUGCUAGGUUGCAGGAGAAAUUUUUGGACAAUUGCACGAAGUCCAAAACCUUUAAACCAUCUCCUCCCUUUAUCAAAGGCAAUUACGGUACUAGCACACCUUACCAAUCAUACAAACCAACACAAACCUCCAACCUAAAAACACCUAUCACAAAAAAUUCCAAGCCCAAUGCAAUGUCAAAUUCCCUAGAUAAAACAGCUUCAGUGGGGAGUUCCAACUCACAGACAGUCAAUAAACCCCCAAACCUAUCCAAUCAACCUAAUAGAAACCUAUCCAAACCUUGUUUCAAAUGUGGGGACAGGUAUUUUCCUGGUCAUGUAUGCAAAAACAAGAGUAUAGUAGCCUUGAAAAUGGAAGCAAGGACAGGAGAAUUGAGAGAGGGAAACAAGGCAGAAAGGGAGUGAGUAGAUGUGGCUAGAGAGGUGGAAGGAACAGAAGAGCAACCAGUGCUAUCUGUUAAUGCAAUAGAAGGCAGUGAGGGUACCCAAACAAUAAGGGUUCUGGGGUAUCACAAAAAUAGGUAAUUGAUGAUAUUAAUUGACAGUGGGAGUACUAAUAGUUUUGUGGAUAAGCAAGUAGCUGAGGAGAUCAAAUUGCCCUUUGUUCACAUACCCAUUACUACAGUUAGUGUAGCGGAUGGCAAGAAGAUUGACUGUGGGUUCAAAAGUCCUGGGUUUGUGUGGAGAAUACAGUCACAAUGCUUCACUUUUGAUGUGAGAAUCUUGAGGCUGGGGCUAUGAUAUGAUUCUGGGGGUAGACUGGUUAAAAAACUUCAAUCCAAUCCUUUUUUACUUUAAAGAACUAGGGAUUUCAAUUACAAAACAAGGGGAGCUAGUGACCUUAAAGGGCAUUAAAGAGGAAGUGCCACCAGUUAAACUAUGUUCCAACUAGGAGUUAUGGAGUAGGAAGGGAGAGGACCUGCAGAAACCUAUUUACUAUAUCUCCUUCUCAUGCAACAUUGAAGGACGAACUGAAACAACAGGAGGAAGUGAAACAACUACUGCUUAAGUACAACAGUAUAUUUGAAGAACCCAAAGCACUACCUCCAUUCAGGAGUCAUAAUCACAGAGUUCCACUACUGCCAACUUCCUAACCAGUCAAUGUAAGGCCAUGCUGUAAACCUCUAUGAUACAACCCAAUUCCAGCCCCUAACUCCCUUGUACUGUUGGUAAAGAAAAAAGAUGAAUCUUGGAGAUUUUUUGUUGACUAUAGAAGUUUGAAUGACUUAACUGUCAAGGACAAGUUGCCCAUUCCUAUAAUUGAUGAUCUGCUAGAUGAAUUAAAUAGGGCUAAGAUCUCCAAAAUAGAUUUGAAAACUGGAUACAAUCAAAUUAGAAUGGAGACUGAGGAUAAUCCAAAAAUAGCUUUUAAGACUCACCAUGAACAUUAUGAGUUUUAUUGUGAUACCCUUCGGACUCACUAAUGCCCUUGCAACAUUUCAAGCACUAAUGAAUCACAUCUUUCAGCCAUUCCUGAGAAAAUUUGUGCUCGUUUUCUUUAACGACAUCCUCAUUUAUAGCUCUAAUAUGUAGUCCCACUUGCAGCAUCUAGACCAGGUACUGCAAGAGCAGAAGUUAUAGGCCAAGCUAUCUAAAUGCUUCUUUGGGCAGGAAAAAGUGAAGUAUUUGAGUCAUCUCAUACCAAGAAAAGGAGUAGCAACAAAUCCCAAAAAGGUCCAAGCAAUGGCGACUUGGCCAGUUCCUACAACUCUAAAGCAAUUAAGGAGUUUCUUAGAGCUAACUGGAUACUACAGGAAAUUUAUGAGGAAUUAUGGGGUUAUUAGCAAGCCUUUAACUGAUCUGGCUAAGAAGGAUUCGUUUUUGUGAAUGAUAGGGCUCUAAGAGGCAUUCUAUGAACUAAGAAGAGCAAUGGCAAUAGCCCCUAUCCUAGCCAUGCCAGAUUUUGCUCAUCCCUUCACUGUGGAAACAAAUGCUAAUGGGUGGGGAAUGGGUGUAAUUCUGCGGCAAAAAGGAUAACCAAUAGCUUACAUCUCUAAAGCCUUUGGACCUAGCAGCAGGGACUCUCUAUAUAUGAAAAAGAACUCUUGGCAAUUACUUUUGCUAUUUCUAAAUGGAGGCACUACUUAGAGCAAAGGCAAUUCUUCAUUAAGAUUGACCAUGAGAGAAUUAAACAUCUCCUUGAGCAGAGAUUACGUUGCACACUAGAUUAUAUCAAAAAGGGAUUUCUAAGCUCCUUGGAUUAGACUACAAGAUUCUCUAUAAAAGGGGAGUGAAAAGCAAGGUAGCAAAUGCUCUAUCUAGAAGAUUUGGGACAGAGGAAGGCAAGAUAUGGGCAAUACAAACCUGUGUGACAUCCACUUAGAUGUCUCAAGUAAUUCAAAGUUAUGAAGAAGAUGAAUUUGUAACUGAAAAGAUCAGAACACGGGUAAUAGAUCCUGAAGGGUUAGUUGGUUAGAAGUUAACGCAAGGAUUGUUGUACUUCAAUGGAAGAAUGUAUAAGGGGAAGUCCACUAGCUUAAGAAAGCAAUUGUUGGAACUCUAUCAUGCCUCCCCCUUGGAGGUCACUCAGGGAUUCAUGGGACACAAUGGAAUUAAAAGGCACUUCUACUAGCCAUAGAUGCUUGCUGAAUUAAUGGAAUAUGUCACUCAAUGAGACGUGUGUGCCAAAUGCAAGAAUGAGCAUUGUCCUGCUCCUGGAUUAUUACUGCCCCUCCCCAUUCCUAGCUAGGCAAGGCAGCAUAUAUUCAUGGACUUCAUAGAAGGCCUAAAAAAAUUUUCAGGGAAGAAUGCGAUAUUGGUGGUGGUUUGCAGAUUCACCAAAUAUGGCCAUUUUUUACCAUUGGUAUAUCCAUUUUCUACCUCCUCAGCAGCUAAACGCUUCCUAUACACCAUAUUCCGACUGCAUGGCAUGCCACAGACUACAGUCUCAGACAGGGAUAAAGUCUUCACAAGCCUUUUUUGGAAGGAACUCUUUAAAAGCCUGGGCACUACUCUCCAUUUCAGUUCUGCAUAUCACCCAUAGAUGGAUGAGCAUACUGAACGGCUUAAUCAAUGUCUAACAAUGUACCUAAGGUGCAUAACUCACUCUCACCCCACUUUAUGGAACUCCAGGCUGCCACUUGCUGAAUGGUGGUAUAACUCAACUUACCGUAGUGCUAUCAAGAUGUCCCCAUUUGAGGCACUUUAUGGUUACGCCCCUCUAUUCUUAUCAAUAAUUCCUCUAAAAACCUGUACAAGCUCUACAGUGGGUGUUGUAGGAGAUUUCUUGACGAGAAGACAACAAUUGGCCGGCCAACAAAAGGAGAAUUUACAAAUGGCCCAAAAUAGAAUGAAAUAGAAUGCAGACAAGAAGAGAAUUAAACAAGAAUUUGAAAUGGGUGAUUGGGUUUAUUUGAAAUACAACCCUAUAGGCAGAGUUCUAUGCCUUUGAGGAAAUCCUUGAAGUUAGCAGCAAUAUGGGCCAUUUAAGGUCAUUGAAAGGGUGGGGAAGGUAGCUUACAAGCUUCAGCUGCCUGCUUCUUCAUCCAUACAUCCAGUGUUCCAUGUAUCCCUUCUUAAGAAGCAUUUAAGCCCUAAAAUCACUCCAGUCAAUGAGUUACCAAGACUGCAAGAUGAUGAGGUCAUCGUGGCCCCUGAAGAAGUCCUCUAAGACAAGGAUAAUCACCAGAGACAAUCACAAGAUUCUACAGGGACUCAUUAAGUGGAUUAAUAAGCUAUAAGCUACAUGCUAGGACCAGACUUUCAUUUUGAAGCAAUUUCCAAAAUUUGCACCUUCUUGGGGUCAAGAAAGUGCUCAUAGGAAUGGUAUUUUGUCAUGUAUCAAGAAUAAAGAUAAAGCUAUAAUCAAUUAGUUUUGGAGGGAGUUUCAGUUGUGACAGCUGGUUCCAGAGGGAAGGAUCUCAAGGUUGUUAGUAUCGAUUACAAUGAGACGAGUACUGCUAUAAAUUGUAAAGAGAUUCACGAGUAAAGGAAUUUAAGAAUCCAAAUAAUAUCUCUACUUUCUCUCUCCUAAAUUUCUCAUUCUCUCCUCUAUUCUUCCUAAUUCUAUCUCCAAUCUCUCUCAAUUCUUCUCUUUCUUCUUCUACUAAGUGAAUCUUCUGUUAGGGAUAAAACCCUAUCAGUAUACCAGUCUCAACAGUUGAGACGCAUCAAAAUUCUACAAUAACACAUAUCAUAAAGUAACUUCUUCUCAAGCAAACAAUAAAUUACUUUAUAUAACAAAACUAACAACUUUUUUAUUAGUUUUUGUAAGGGUAGUGUAAGAUAGAAAGUUUAAUAAUUUGUAUUAAUUCUUUCUUAUACAUUUCUCAUUGGUGAAGUGUGCAGUAACAAACUGUUUGUUACUGUAAAUGGUAUUUCAUAACUUGAUUUCCCACCCUCUUUGCUUUCCCAAGGAGACAACACAAACUAAAAAUAUAUAAAAUUAAAAAUGGUUUUCAUUCCUCAUCACUAUGUUUAAAACACCACAAUUGCUGGAGCUUGUGUUCACAUGCUCUUUAAUAGACAAUUUUAGGCUUAAUUAAAUUAAUACAAUCUUUGUUUUAAUGGAUUGAUUGCAUGAAAGAAUUUAUCCAAGGAAAAAAUUAAUAUGCAAAUGUAAUUUGAGGCCUUAUUUGGGAUUUAGCAUUUAUAUAAAACAUACCUCUUUAAAUCUCUUCUUCUUUUGCUCAACCUGAAAUUACAAUUUGAUGUUCUCAGGCAACUUUGAAUAAAUGAAGAGUAAAUUCAGAAAUUACUAUAACUACUGUAGAAAUCAACAUUAAAUCAUUCACUAUAUUAUCAAAACUUACAUUCUUUGGAAAAAUAUAGUCCCAAGACAAUAGAAAAUCCAGUGAGUGAAAGCACGAAAAGAAUAUGAUACAGUCAAGAUUCAAGAAAAAACAAAUAUAACGAUUAUUUUGAUUUCAUUUUGGUGAAACAUUUGUGCUGUGGAAAUAACUCAAUUUUUUUAGAAAGUAAAUUACCUUUCUACAAAAAUAUUUGUAGCACACUGAAAAAUAUUCAUCUUUUUAAUAUAAAUAAUGAAAUUAAUAUGUUUUGGCCCUCAAAAAAUGUUAUAUAUCUUUUAUUUAUAGUCAAAUAUCAGAUAUUUUGUUUAGGCAAGAUACAAAAAAUAUCAUAUGGUAUGAUGCAUUUUCGAUUGCCAUCAUUUAAAAUGCUAACAUGGCAUAGGUAAAAUUAUAACAACAACCAAAGCAACAAUCCUAAGUCAAUUGGAAGUAAAAUAUAAGAAAUACAUUUUUCAAAUUUGUGGAAUCCAAUUAAAUUACUAAUUUCUAGAAAGAAAAUAACUAAAUGUGAUUUUAAAGAAAUUUAAAAUAAUAGUUUUUAUCAUAUCACCUCAGACACAGAAGCAUUUUUAAUAGUGUUAGAGAAGCUGGCUGCUAAUUGCUUAUGGAACAAAAUACAAUGUGCCACCUUGUCAUAAAAACCACAACCUCGUAAUUGAGGAACACCAAGCCACAUCAUAUUUUAUUAUGCUUUACCUUAUAUCUAUAUAGUGGUUAACUGUGAUUGUUACAAGUGGUUACUAAUGGCCCGGAACACCAUGGCAUGCAGUAGAAGAAGAAAAAAUUGAGCUAAAAAAAUGUGGGAAAAGUGCAAAUCGGCAAGCAAAAAGAGCAACAAAAAGCUUUUGCUUACAAGAACAAUAUGAAGAACGGCUUCAAAAGAGAAGGUAAAGCAUGGAGUAAGGAUUACAACAUUCGUGAUUGAGGGGAAAAGUGGAAGAAGGAGAAGAAGAAGAAGAGCUUGUUUCUGAUAAAUUCACCUUAAAUACAAGAGAAAAGGUUUUUCAACUUAGGGACUGCUUUUCUAUAGGUGAGAUUCGAAGAAGUUUAGUAGUGCCAUAUGAAUUGACUCAGUCCUAAACAAUUAACUAAUAAAACAGUAAAACAGUAAAAGAUAAAAAUAGCCAGCUAAAUUUUCAAAGCAACUUUGGUUGCAACGAUAUUGGUAAAAUUCAAAAUGGAAGGAAACUGGAAGGGGGGAAAAAGUCCAACUCCAUUUUGUUUAAGAUGCUGCGUAUGGUAAAUUUUUGUUGCCUCAUGUUAGCAUUCAAGAGAUAGACUUUGACAUUCCAAAUUAGAUUCUAACAAGAAAAGAAUGAUGCAAAUAGAACUGAGCUCAAGAAUAAUAAUGAGAAAAAAAAGACUAUAAACAUAGAAUUACAGUCAUAUUUCAUGAAUGGAUUAUUUGAAGAAUACCUGGUUUAAAUUAUUUAUAUAGUCACAACAUUUAUAAUUAUUCCAGUAAGGUAGUACCUAGUCUAGUAUAUUAAAAUGUCACAAGAUUAUUCUUGUGAUUUUCAACUUUGUUAGAAUGGAUUGGAUAGUGGCUUUAGGAUUUCUUUUGAAUUCUUAUUUGUACAGGAGAAUGUUAUUCUUGUUAAUUUUCUACAGAAGACCCAUCACUCCAUCAGUUAAGGACUACAACCAUGGUUUUAGAAAACCAUUAUUUAUAGCAAAAAUGGCCUAUCAUUGCAGUUAAGGUCUUUAAACAACGGAAUUUUAAAAAAAUGGGGUGUCAUGGUCAUUAAGUUGUUGCAAUGGCUGUUACUGACCAUUACUUAAUGGCCAUUAUUCUAGAAAGGUAACAUCUUUUGGCUCUUUCUUCCACUAUUAUCAUGUGUACAAUUAGCUGAAGUUUCUUCCCUUUCCAUAAAGGCAGCAGCAAGAGCUGACUGCUUAGCAGAGGCAGCAUAAUUGCUUUAUUAUGUCAAAUUUCUACACUUCCAUUCUAGCAUUUUCCAGAAUUUUUUUCAACUAUCAAGUGAAAUAUUUCAUUUCUUAAAUCUCUGAGCUUAAAAGUUCAGAUCAUUCAAUAGACAAGGAGAUUUUGAAAUGGAGGAGAGAAAAUCAAUACUUUCUACAUUCAAAAUUUUGCAUAAGGUGUGUUAUUUAUAUUUGUUGCUAGUGUUUGCUCAUUUGCAAGUUCAAUUUCACAGUCCCAUGAAAUAAGUCAAAAUAAUCAAGAACCUCUUGAACACUCAUUUUGGUGCUAAUAUGGUUAGUUCUUUACUAUCUGCCUAAUAAUUUUAGUUUUAAAUUGAUUAAUGCUAAUAAUAUCUAAGAAUGAUGGAUUAUAUAUCUUCGUUUGAUAUAUUUAUGCUUAUUAUUUAUUUGCGUAUCUUAGUUUUAAAUUAUAUCUUUAUAUAUUUAUUCAUCUCAUGAACUUUGUCAAAGGACAUUAUUAUUAUGUAAUGACCAUUAUAAACCUGUUUCUAUUACUUGCAACUGUGAAGUCAGCCAGCCUUUAUGCAAUUUUAAAACCAUGGUUAGGACAAUCUCUAAAUUCCCGAUAAUUAGAAGAUUUAGUAUUAUUUGGCCUUUGAGUAUAUAAAAUUAUAUAGUUGGCUAUAUGGUGCAUCUAUAUAUGAUAUCUAAGGAAGUUUAGGUGCAAAGCCAAAAACCUGUAGUUUUUCCUGUUCAUUGUGCUGAUUCACUAUGCCAACAUUCAAACACCCCUCAAACAUCUUCCUAUCAUAUGCUAUUUUGCUUCAAUAUAGUAGUUGAUUAGAANNNNNNNNNNNNNNNNNNNNNNNNNNNNNNNNNNNNNNNNNNNNNNNNNNNNNNNNNNNNNNNNNNNNNNNNNNNNNNNNNNNNNNNNNNNNNNNNNNNNNNNNNNNNNNNNNNNNNNNNNNNNNNNNNNNNNNNNNNNNNNNNNNNNNNNNNNNNNNNNNNNNNNNNNNNNNNNNNNNNNNNNNNNNNNNNNNNNNNNNNNNNNNNNNNNNNNNNNNNNNNNNNNNNNNNNNNNNNNNNNNNNNNNNNNNNNNNNNNNNNNNNNNNNNNNNNNNNNNNNNNNNNNNNNNNNNNNNNNNNNNNNNNNNNNNNNNNNNNNNNNNNNNNNNNNNNNNNNNNNNNNNNNNNNNNNNNNNNNNNNNNNNNNNNNNNNNNNNNNNNNNNNNNNNNNNNNNNNNNNNNNNNNNNNNNNNNNNNNNNNNNNNNNNNNNNNNNNNNNNNNNNNNNNNNNNNNNNNNNNNNNNNNNNNNNNNNNNNNNNNNNNNNNNNNNNNNNNNNNNNNNNNNNNNNNNNNNNNNNNNNNNNNNNNNNNNNNNNNNNNNNNNNNNNNNNNNNNNNNNNNNNNNNNNNNNNNNNNNNNNNNNNNNNNNNNNNNNNNNNNNNNNNNNNNNNNNNNNNNNNNNNNNNNNNNNNNNNNNNNNNNNNNNNNNNNNNNNNNNNNNNNNNNNNNNNNNUAAGAGGAAGUUUCAGUAAGCUUUAGUUCCCAAAUACCAGAUCAACACAAAAGAAUCAAGGUUGUCAUUCUGGUUUUAAUCAUUUCCUUACCAGGUAAAAAUAGGAUAUCUGAAACAUAAAAUUUCAACUCUCAACUCUACAAACCAAAUGAAAUCAGAAUCUAGAACCUGGAAAAAAGAAAAUCUGUACUCAAUUAUCUCUAAUUACAGCUAUUAAAUGCCUGUGUCAAGCUCAAAGCUAACACCAGACUCCAACCCUCCCUCUACAAAAGAAACGCAGAUAACAGUGACUAGGCAUUCGCUAUCAUGUAGACAGAAUGACAUGGAGCCAAAUUUCUUCCUUACAAAAGUAAGGUUGGCUAUCAGAUUUUGCAGGCAUUUUUGGGAUUGUAAACAUUAAGCCAUUUGACCAGCUAAUUUUUUAUUAACUAACAGGAAAAAAAAAUUUGACAGAAGGGCUUUAUACUAGUCAGAGAUAAAGUACAGGAAUCUCGUUGUUCAAUUUUGAAACACUCAGAAUUCAAAACAUAGUAACUAUGAUAAACUACAGUGGGAAAAUAGCAAUGCACCCUUUGAUAAAUGCCGUAUUAUUCUCAGAAUGUAAUUUAACCUUUAACAUCCUCUUCAUAGAAAUACUAUGUUUAAAUAUCUGAUACCGAGGAACAUACAAUCUGAGAGUUCCCUUCAUAAAAUUUGUACCCUUAAAGUUCUAAACAAACUCUCAUCGAACACACUAGACUAUGCUCCAUAGUAAAAGCAGCAUUAGUGCUCCUUAACAGAGAAUCUGGACAUAAAGAGUAAUGAAAUAUUUUCAACAACCAAACAAAGGAAAAACUGAAAACCGAAAUACCUUUAGGGAAAAGAAGAAAAAAAAAAAAACAAAAGAAUAAAGAAUUUUUUAGCAGCCAAACAGAAACAUAAACAUGAAAAUAAAAGUAUCAAAAAAAUAAGAAAGAAAAACAACCUGUUUACGUUCCCUAGACCUGGCAGCAGAUUCACGAUUCUUGAUCAUUCUCCUCUGCUUCUGCUGGGUGGCCUUAUCCAUUGGAGGUUCUUCCACAGCCCUCCUCUUCUGCCUCCCUUUCCCUCCUUCUGCCACCACCAUCAUCCCAUUUCCCAACCCCUGAAAUUCUCCAGUAUCAUAAUUACUAUUAUUCUCAUUAGUUAUUUUGCUAUUGCUAUCCACACCAUAAGCUCCUACAGCAGCCCCCACCUGAACCGGAAUUCCAACCCCUCUAACAUCCUCCUCCCUCACUGCACCGGCCUUAGUCAGAAAAUCCUCCAAAGUCAUCCCCUCGAUUCCUCCACCACCACCAUUUUCAUCACGCCGGUGAUCCCCGCCGGCCACAAUUUCCUUCCAAACGUCAUCAACGGACUUGCUAGCAGCUUCCUUAGGCAUAGGGAAGCUUCCAUCGCGUGAGAUCGACGCGCCACCGGAGAAGGGGGGCGCGUGGGGAUCGUCUGGUGUCGGUGGAGUAGGAUAAGAGUAUAUGUUUUUCAAUAGAUCGUCCAUGGUCGCGGAGAGCAAAGGGCUCUGAGAAUUAGAAGAGAACUGGUUUUGGUUUUGGAGAUCGGCGAGCAGGGUUGAGAGGGAGGAACAUAAAGAGGGUUGACGUGGCAUAUCAGGAUUCGUCGUUGACGAGGUCGCCAGAACCUUCGACGACGCCAUAGUCCAAAAUCCAGAACCUAAAAGCGGAUUUAUAGGCUAACACUAACAGGUUCGUUUCUUGUUGGCUCCUCUCUCACAUCUACGCUAAGGUAAAGCGAGAAUUGGAAGUUAAGGAAUGACGGUAAAUAUGAGAGAGCGAAUAUAAAGCAAACGGAGAUGAAAAGACUAGAGCACGCUGAGAAAAAGCUACAGAAACUAGGGAAAGUCAUAAGAAUGCUGCCGGUACAUGACGGGCUGUAUCAAAAUUUAGGGCUCGCUUUAUUCCUUAGAAAUAAUUGAUAAUUGAUAGACCAUGGUUCAAAGUAUUUAGCAAACUAUAUUUAAUGGCUACUGUUUAUAUGAAAAAUAAUGUAUAAAUUAUAUAUUAUUUAUUAUUAAAAUAUAUAAUUAGUAAUUUAUCACAUAUAAGAUUUAAAAAUAUGAUCACUAAUAAAAUAAAAUUUAUUUAUUAUGUAUAUAAGUUAUUUUUAUAAUAUUUAUAUUUAUUUUAUAAUUAUAAUAAUUUAUUAAUAUAUAUUGAAAUUUAUUUAAUAUAAAAAAUUAAUAAUUAAUAAGUACUAAAAAAAUAUAAUAUGAUCUAAAUAAAAUGUAAACUCUUACCAGCCAUCCAAAUAAAAUAAUUUUAAAAAAUUUUUAAAUUAAAAAUGAUUGAAAAGGAAGCCAAUAAAUUACCAAACACUAAACUAGCUAUUUGGGAGCUAAUAAACUAUUAACCGAAUGAAAAUUAAUAUUACUAUAUUAUAUUAAUAACGAGGCCGAAAUUGAACUGAGUUGUGAUUGACUAAAACCUAUAAGAGAGAAAGUGUGAAGCGGUGGUGGAUACUCACGACAGCUACUUUAACGCUCUAAGUUAGUACUCUGAAAAAUAUAAGCAAUGGACUCUUUAGAGUUUAAGCAGUGUUUGAGAUAGUGUAUUUUUGUCUCUGCGAUUGCUCCCUUUUAUAUUGCGAGAAGAGGAGAUAAACAUAGCAUUUCUCGAGAAUCAAAUGAUGAUGUGGUCGGCUACUCGAUAAGGGAUAUCGCCAGCUAAUAAGUUGGUAAUCAUGCGAUUUUAGGCGAAACGGGAGUAUGCCUGAUAAUAGUAACUCUAUACAAAGAUUCGGCCUAUCGAGGGAAUGGGCGAGUCAUGACGGUGAUCCGGGUGUUAAAGUGUUUGAGUUUCGGAUAAGACCGCAUUUUUCACUUGUCAGAUUUUUGUCACGUGAUCCUUAUUUUAUGGUGACAGCUCAUAGCUUAUUUUGGGCGGAUGUUAUAUAACAGCAGAGGUUCCCCCACUAGUCUUUGUUUCUUCAUAUUCGAAAAAGACAUCUUUUACUGAGGUUCGAGACAUGUGGCUACUCGAGAUUGGCUAUUUGCUACUCACGUUGCUUCGCAUACUAAUCCUUUUGACGGCUGCUGCGAUGUUUUUCAUGCCGGAUUUAAUGCUCGUUGUCGAGACCAUCUUUAUAAAGGUCCAUCGUCUUCUCCAAGCAUCCCUUUAGUGUUUUUCUGCAACUUAUUUUUCCAAAAGAAUUCACUCUUGUGACUCUCUUCUCGCUUCUAUUAAAGUCCUUGCUUGUUUCAUAGUAACUUUGUUGUCUUUUUGAUAUAGAUAGGAACACCUCUUCCUCCCCUAGAGGGACCUCUAUUUCCAAUUCCUCCUCUAACGGCCCCAUCCGAGUGCCAGCCCCUAUUGUUCCAUUGAAAGAGACCUCUGAGAAUGAGGGUGGCUCCCUUAGUGAUAUCCCAUCUAUCUUCUCGAAUAGCGACGUGGAUCGUUAUAUAACACCUAUCACAUUCCUCAAAAUUCUUUUUGAAUUUUUGCUCCCUCUCCUCAUGUUCAUGCUAACAACCUAUUCCUACUGGCGACACUAUCAUGGUCUUCGAGGAGCAAUUCAAGGCGGGUCUUCAUUUCCCUUUAGACCCCUUCUUUGUGGAGGUCCUUCAUUUUUACAAGCUUUUUGUCGCUCAGCUUCACCCUAAUAGCUAGAAAAUCUUGGUAGUCUUUCGGUUUGUGUGUUUAAUAAUCACAUUGAAACCUAGCAUAGUACUUUUCUCCCAACUAUCCAAUUGGGUACUCGUAAGAAUGAGGAGUUCUGGUACUUUAGCAGUCGAAAGUGCUUGAAUAUUUUUUGCUGGAUGCCUUCUUCUUUAAAACGGUGGAAGAAUAACUUUUUUAUCCUCCAUCGUACUCUGGGGAUUUUGUGCGCCUUCAAACUAGCUAGCACUACUGGGUAGAACUGAAGAAGUAUGGGGUCUGCCCGAGGAGAGAGGAAGACAAGGCUUUAGCUUCCUUUAUGGCAAUGGCUAAAGCGUUAAGGAAGAUUGAUAUCAUCCAGGCGGUGAGGAAUGCUGCUUUAUCCUGGCAGAGUCAUCUGUCAAUAGGCUAGACCCAGGCUCCUCACUCGCCCAAUGCACCCUUACCUCAGGAUCAUGGUACUUCUUUUUUUGUUCUUUUUAUUUUUUGAACUGACUAUCUUACUUACUCUUCCUCCUUUUUGCAGAUAUGGCUGGGUCAAGCAGAUUCGCCAAGGCAGUAUGUGCUACUCAAAAGGGCAAAUUUGUUAUUGCUAGUCCCCUUGCUAAACGUGCUCACCCUUCGGAGGAGGUGAUUAUACUUCCCUAUCCCCAUUCCCAACCUACGAUUGAGAAGUUGGCACCUCUUCAGCCUAAAUCUUUGGUCCCAAGCAUUGUUGCUACCACCUCAGCCCCUGUGCUUCCUGUUGAUGCCCCUUCUUCCUCCGCUCUUGUGAGCGUUGGGGUCAAGUCUUCCUGGCCCGUUGGUAUUUAAUGUUUGGUCUUGGCGCUAAACAGGGUGCCAUCUCUCCUUGAUGACCUUUCUAUGGGUCUCCUGCUAAUCAAAAGUGUCCUGAGGCCCGCAGAUCUUCGUCAUUUGAACGAGGUUGAGAUGGACGAGCUAUUUGUUAAUGCUAUUUAUUUUGCAUUGGAGGGUGCCCUUUGUGACUAUGUGGCCAAGGAGUGUUUUAGAGCCUUGAGGUGAGAAUUUGGCACAAACGAGAUGCAUAAGGAGCUUUUGGCUAAGGAAUUUUCAAACUUGAAGGUCCGGAUGGCCGAAGUUAAGGGUAUGAUAAAGGAGACCCUAAAGUCGAUGGACAAGCUUUAGGCUGACCUUGACACGGCCCUUGCCUCUAAUCUGGGCCUUGAGAAUCGGGCUAAAUCUACUGAGGAUCAAGUAGCCCUAUUACAACGCCAGGUCUUGGAGCUGCAGACUCAAGCUGAAGAGGCCCGGGCUGCCUCCACCAGGGUAACCGAGCUAGAGGAGGAACUCAAGGAGACAGUAGCCCUAGGCAAGGAGAUGUUUGUUCAAGGCUAGUAUUCCGUGAAAAAGGAGCUGAGCAUUUCCCUUCUGAGGAAUUCUCCUAGAUAGAUGACAUCUGUUAGUAUAUUUGUCCUAGGCCAGGAAUUCUCCUAGAUAGAUGACAUCUGUUAGUGUAUUUGCCCUAGGCCAUUAUCUUGGAUUUUUUUGUAUGUCAUUUUGUUUAUUAAUAAAAAAAGGUUUUAUUAUUAUUAUUAUUUGUUUACAUGUUACAUAAUAAUUAUUAACAUCCUUGGUUACUUAUUAUUAUGAUGAUAAUAAUAAAAUAUGACUAGUAUGAUUAUUGAUUGAUAAUUAUGAGAUAAUUAUAUGUACGUUGAUAUAAAUCAAUAAUCAUAGAUACUUAUUAGAGAACAAAGUAUUGGAUGGACUCACAUUGAGAUCACUACAUGGGUUAUUUUUAUAAGUGAAUCUCAAUAUAGUUAUGUGUUAAUCUUUUGACUUGAGAUUGUCAUAGUUUCCAACAUAAGAACUGUUAUGUUUUGACAUAACUAAACAUUGUCUUUAAUCGGAUAAUCAUAAAGAUUAUGAUUGAGCAUAAUAGAAAUUAUGUAGAGGAUAUUGAACAAUCAAGAUAGAAUUUGUUUCUCUAAAGAGAUGGAUAUCUUCUGGGUCUCUCGAUAAGUGAGACUGAGGAAUGCAUAAUUGUGCUCAAAUGAAUUAAUAAUGUGAUCAAUAUCAUUUAGUUUUACCAGCCUACUUAGAGAUUAAGAAAUCAUAAGUUUGAUAUUGAUCAUGACUUAUGUUCAAACUAAAUAUUGUAACGACCCGGAAACUGGACCGCUACCAGCGCUAGGGUUCAGAUCGACUUAAGGUCGCCGGAACCCAUAGCAAGCCUACUAUACAUCUUGUGUACCUGAUAAAAAAUCCCAUACAUGAUCAUACAUUUUCAUAAAACUUAAACAUUUCACGAACCAAGGCCUGACCUGUGCAUGCAUCAUAAACUGUAUACAUAAAAUCCAUAUUAGAGCCCUCAUCAAAUGCUCUAGUAUGGUAAACAUCACAUGCCUCAAGUUUGGUUCAAACAUAACUCAUCAUUAAAACUUUUACAUAAAGAUCAUGAAUAACAGGGAUUUAUAAAAACAUAUACUAGGGCCAAGCAUAAUUCUAAUCCAUUAAAAAUUUACAUGUCCACAACUAUACUAUUACUAUACCAGCUACUAUGCCGACUUUCCAAGCUAUCUUCGACCCUGUAAACCUGGGGUUAGGGGUUAGGGGAAAGGAAUAAGCUACAAGAGCCUAGUGAGCAGAACCAUAAAAACAGUUUAAUAAACAUAUGCUCAUAUGAAAUGUGUCACAGCAGAAACAAUUCACAACAAGAUGGACUUGUCACCAGUAACCCUCCACAUUCCAAAUAGUGCCCAGCCCUCGACGGAGCUCCUCAGGACUUACUCUUAAACAUAACAUAGCAUAUCCAUAAAUGUCAGGGGCGUAGAAUGGGCAGCCCUGAUCUUUCUCUUACAUAGUGCCAGGGCGCGUAGAAUGGGCAGCCCUGGUCUUCCGUAUCCGUCAUAACAUAACAUGCUCGAGGGCUAGUGGGUCAUCCAAUAUCCAUCCACAACAACAGCAAAUUAUGCAAUGCAUCAUAUUCGUGAAUUCUAAUGCAAAACAACCUAAUACAUAUACAUGGCAUUCGUGAUGCAUGAACAUGCUUAAAAGUUUAGUUACUUUGAAAAGAUAGUUCAGUUCUACUUACCUCUCGCUGACGCUUGACUAAAACUGUAGCAGCUGACUCACUGCUGGCCUCUACGGUCUCCCAGGUCCGAUCCUACACAGAUGGACUCCUAUAAGGGACCAAGCAUAGCUAACACAUGACUCUAAACAACUCCCCAAAAACCCACUAAAAUAUCACAAAACAUGCACAUAAAACAAGCACACAAAACAUGCACAUAAAACCCACAUUAGAGCCCCAAAAACCCCCUACAUAUUCCAAAUAACCCUUAACCCUUUUUAAAACUUACUUAAAAUAUAGGAAAAGGCGAGUGUAAUACCCGACUAGAUUUCGGCAUCGGAAUCCCUACCUUCCGGCGGAAUCUCCGUUGAAAUCUGGAAUUCUGAAGAUGCCAGAGUCUUCUAGAGGGGUAAAAUGUGUUUCUAAAAUGUUUUCACAUGAUUUUAUGAUUUUAAAUGGAAAAGAAAUGGAGUUUUGAAAAGAAUAGGCCAAGGAGGAAGGACCCAGGUUCGGCCGCCUAACCUCAAGUUCGGCCGCCGAAUAUGGGGCUGUUUUGGGAGUGCUUUAGGCCUCCGAAAGCUUUGAGGGCAGAAACCAGGUUCGGCCGCCGAACCUCAAGUUCGGCCGCCGAACCUCAAGUUCGGCCGCCGAACCUCAAGUUCGGCCGCCGAACAUGGGUUAGUUUAGGAGGUAAGUUAGGCUGCCGAAGGUGGUAGAGCUGUGGAGACAGCUUAGGCCGCCGAAGGUGGUUGACUGGCCACCUAUAAAAGGCCCUCAGACCGAAAAUGGGUGAGUUUUCUCCCCAUUCUCGAGCUCAAGUGUGUUCAUGUCCUCCUUUGGUUGAUUUCAUGUUCUUUCUUCAAACCCUUCACGUUUUUAUGAGUUUCCUUUUGGGUUUUGAAGUUUUAAAGCUUAAAUCAAGUUUUGGGAGCUUGGAGAACCAAGGAGUUUGUUUCCUCCCAUCUCCAAGUUAGGGAUCACACCAACCCUCGAUCUUCAAGAGGUAAGUGUAGAUCCUUGCUUUCAUUUAUGUUUAAUAAAGUUUUAAGUAAGUUUGAAGGAAGUUUUAAUGCUUGAGUAUGGGUAGAUAUGCAUGUUAGGAUUUAUGUGGGUUUUAUGCCCAAUGUAUGCUUAUGUGAUGUUUGUGUUGAGGUUUAAGUUAGUUUAUGCCCCUUUAUGCAUGUGGGAGUGUGUAUGCAUGUUUGGGAGAGGGCAUGUGAGGUUUUGGGUGGUUUGGAGAUUGGUUUUGCUUGUGUCAGAUUCGGACCUGCUGUUCGGAGGGAACCAGGUUCGGCCGCCGAAGGUAUGUUUGGCCGCCGAACCUGCAUGGAAGGCAGCUUUGGCUGCCUAACGUGCCCCCGAAGGCCAGGACUUUCGGAUCUGUGUGAGGCUUCGGCCGCCGAACCUGCCGCCGAACCUGCCAGACUUUCGGCUCUUGAAGGAUUUUCAGCCGCCGAAAGUGCCCCCGAACCUGCAUGGCUUUCGGCUCUGGAAGGACAUUCGGCCGCCAAAAGUGCCCCUGAACCUGCAUGGCUUUCGGCUCUGAAAGGGACAUUCGGCCGCCCAAAGUGCCGCCGAAAGUGCCCUGUCCAGCCCAUUCUUGGUUGUUUUCUAUGUAUGUUUUGAGGAUGUUUUAGGGGGUUUUUGGGGAGUUGUAUAUGAGUUGUUGAGAGUGUGUUUGGCACCUCAUUCGAGUCCACCUGUGUAGGAUCGGACCCGAGGGACCGAGGAGGCCAGCAGAGUUAGCUAUUGCAGAGUCAGUCUAGCGUCUGCCAGAGGUGAGUAGAACUAACUCAAAUGUUUUAAGCAUGUUCACGCAUCAUGAAUACCAUGUAUAUGUAUUAGGCUGUUGCAUUAGAUUUCACGAAGAUGUUGCAUUGCAUAAUUUGCUGUUGAUGUGGAUGGACAAAGGCGACCCCAAUAGCCCUAGCUAUGAUAUGUUAAUGAAGUCCUGAGGAGCCCCACCGAGGGCCGGGCAUAAUGAAGUCCUAAGGAGCCCGAAGGGCCGGGCAAUAAUGAAGUCUUGAGGAGCCCGAAGGGCCGGGCACUAUGUUAUGUUACAGAAGUCCUGAGGAGCUCCUUUGAGGGCCGGGCACCAUGAUAUGUUACAGACAGAGGGAAUUUUGGUGGUCAUGUCCAUCCGUGAUGUGAAAUGUUUGUGCUGUGACGCAUUCCAUGAAAGCAUGAUUUAUUAUUGUUUUUCUAUUCUGCUCACUGGGCUUUUUAGCUCACCCUUUUCCCCUAACCCCCAGGUUUGCAGGUCAGAGGUAGUCCAGGAAGACGUCAAGGGUAAAUGUCAUGCUUAUGUAAUAGAUUAGUGUUUUAGUGUGGACAUGUAUUGUAAAAUUGAUGUAAUGUAUUGCAAGAUAAUGUAAUGAAAUUUAACGUAAAAUAGAGUUAUGUUUAUGGAUUAGUGUUGUGCUUGGCCCUAAGGCUUGGUUAGUCCCUUUUUAGUACAUGAUGUAUGUUAUGUUUUAAUGUUGAGUUGAGUUUGAACCAAACUUAUGGCAUGUGAUGUUUACCACGCUAGGGUAUUUGAUGAGGACUCUAGUGGAGGUUUUAUGCUUAUGGUUUUUGAUGCAUGCACAGGUUAGGUUUUGGUUCAUCGGAUGUGAUCCAAGCUUGAUGUAUGUUAUGUUGACCCAGCUAGAGCUUUUAUUGAGGGCUCUAAUAGGGGGUUCCUUAUGUUUUCAGUUAUGUAGCAUACAGGUCAAGCUCGGUAUAUACAUCAGAUGUUUAAGUUUUUAUGUUAAUAUUUUGAUCAUGUAUGGGAUUUGACCAGGUGAUAGGAUGUAUAUUAGGCUUGCUACGGGUCCCGGCGGCCUUAAGCCGAUCUGGAUCCUAGCGCCGAUAGCGUUCCGAUUUUCGUGUCAUUACAGAUUGGUAUGAGAGCCCUAGGUUCAUAUGGUCGGACCUAGAGUGCGUUGGGCUCAUAGAGGUCAUAAAAAGGCAAGCAUAAUAGGCAAAAUCAUGUCCACUAGGAUAGGAUGUAAAGUCCUGUCUUAAUUGAUGUUAUGAAAUGCCAUGAUUUUAUGCAUGUGCAUUAAUGGUAUGCUAUGUAUGUGAUGCAGGUUCAUGUGUUUCCACAUGAACCGUAUGAUGCUAAUGAUUGUUUGUAUGAUUGUGUGUUGUGCUUCAGAGGAGCUAGGAUGCGAGGCAUUCGUCGAUCUGUGGAAUCGACUGGAGUUCCGUCUGAGAGGGAAGGUAUGGGCACCUUUUCCCCUACUCUGCCAAGAGCGCAGUAGUGUAGAGUCGGCAGAUGGGGAACAUCAAGGGACCCUGGAAGGUCUUUUGAUGUAAGCAGAGAAGGAAUGGAUCUAAGGAGAAUGUCAGCUAAUGCGAGAGAAGUAGAGAUGGAUGUUCAGAGGAGAGAUGUCAGUCUGGAGGUCAACCUGUUUGAAGAAGGAAUGGGAGAGUCUCAAGAAGACGCUCAAACUCAGGAUUCCAGAAUCUCAGGUUUAGGAGGAAUUGAUCCCUCCACUCUGAGUACAGCUGCCACGAGAAGUAAGAAGUGGGGCAGAACCCUGAGGGGAAAGAAGAGUAAGUUUUGGAAGAGGUUGAAGUCUAGUAUGGGAUUAGGUGGUGGUUCGAGUUCUGGCUCCGAUACUUCUGGAUGCAUGAGGUGUGGGAGGCCGCACAAAGGGGUUUGUCAGUAUGGGACUAAUCUAUGUUUUAGAUGCGGUCAGGAAGGGCACAUGGUACGUGAGUGUCCCAUUGCGCCCUGGUUGGCACAGUCUCAGCGGGCAACUCCAGGUAGAGCGGUUCAGCCAGCAGCUCCAGCCAUGUUUCAGGUCAGUGGUCGAGGCAGAGGAAGAGGGUCAGCCUCUUCUUCAGCAGGUUCCCAUGGAGAAGGUCCGUCAGCUCCAACACGGAUCUUCACCCAAGCUCAGCAGGAGGCAAACACAUCAAACAUGGUGGUGUCAGGUACGCUCACUUUUGAAUGUUCUGAUGUGUAUGUUUUUGUGAACCCUGGUAUUUCUCUUUCUUUAGUUGCUCUAGGAGCCGUCGAGAGGUUGAGUUGAUAACUUCUGGGCUAGAGUGUCCUCUUUGGGUCAGUGAACCCAAGUGUGAUCCAUUUGUGGCAGAGUCAGUCUGCCAGUCCAGUUUAGUAUCAGUUGAGGGUAGAUGCCUUCCACCCGACCUUGAGGUCCUAGACUUGACUGUCUGGACGUCAAUCGAGGGAUGGAUUGGUUUUCUACUCGUGGUGCUAUCUUGGUCUGCAAAGACAAGGUAGUCAGGUUCAGAGGACAGGAUGGGUCAGAGGUAGUCUGUUGAGGGGACAUAGUAGGGAUGCCUAGAGGUUUGAUGUCAGCCUGUCAGGUUCGUAGGGUGCGUAGGAGGGGUUGUCAGAGGGUUCUAGCUCUUAUUGAGAGUUUAGCAGUCAGGUCAGGGAACCAGCCUCCGUGUCUAUUGUUGAGAGAGUUCUUAGAUGUUUUCCCAGGCGAGCUGUCAGGUUUACCACCAACUAGGGAGAUAGAGUUUGGAAAUAGAAGAGAUACCAAGCAUCAGGUUCAUCUCUAUUCUUCUCUACAGGAUGGCACCUGCAGAGUUGUAGGAGUUGUUAGAGCAGUGGCGAGAGCUUGGUAGACAAAGGUUUUAUCCGACCUAGUACCUCACCCUGGAUUGCUCCAGUGUUGUUGUGGGAAAAGCAGGAUGGAUCCUGGAGACCCUGUGUCGACUUCAGGCAGUUGAACAAGGUCACUACCAAGAACAGGUAUUCCCCACCUGUUGAGGGUUAGGAAAGAAGUCAGUUCAGCAGAGAAGAAGGGAGAAGAGAAAGGAUCAGAGUGCGCAGCGGAAGCUUGUGGAGUUCAGGAGAAGGCUGGGGUAUUGCUUAUGGUGUCUCCUAUGAAGAGGUGAUUCGUUAUGGGAAGAAGGGUGAACUAGCUCCAAGAUACAUCAGACCCUUUGGAGUGCUACAAAGGAUUGGGAAUGUAUCCUGCAAGUUAGAUUUACCUACUUCCAUAGAGAAAAUCCAUUCGAAUUGCCAUGUUCCUGUGUUAUGGAAGUUCGUGUCAGAUCCAAGUAAGGUUCUUAAAGGACCAAAGGUGGAGAUCUUGGAGGGUCUCACCUAUGUUGAGCAGCCAGUGCGGAUCAUUGACACACAAGUCAGAAAGAGAGGGAACAAAGAAAUCCCGAUGGUGAAAGUCCUUUGGGAUCGCCAGUGCGGGUGGGUUCGCUUGGGAGACUCGGGAGUUCAUAAUCCAGCAGUACCGUAUCCCUUUUAAGAGGGAGGUUUUUAGGUUUUGCUUGCUUGUUUAUGUAUGCUUGAUGCUAUGUUUUUUAGAAUGCCUGUUUGUUUGAACAUUCGAGGAUGAAUGUUCUUAAAGGGGGGAAGAAUGUAAUACCCGGCUAGAUUCCGGCAUCGGAAUCCCUACCUUCCGGCGGAAUCUCCGUUGGAAUCUGGAAUUCUGAAGAUGCCAGAGUCUUCUAGAGGGGUAAAAUGUGUUUCUAAAAUGUUUUCACAUGAUUUUAUGAUUUUAAAUGGAAAAGAAAUGGAGUUUUGAAAAGAAUAGGCCAAGGAGGAAGGACCCAGGUUCAGCCGCCGAAUAUGGGGCUGUUUUGGGAGUGCUUUAGGCCUCCGAAGGCUUUGAGGGCAGAAACCAGGUUCAGCCGCCGAACCUCAAGUUCGGCCGCCGAACAUGGGUUAGUUUAGGAGGCAAGUUAGGCUGCCGAAGGUGGUAGAGCUGUGGAGACAGCUUAGGCCGCCGAAGGUGGUUGACUGGCCACCUAUAAAAGGCCCUCAGACCGAAAAUGGGUGAGUUUUCUCCCUAUUCUCGAGCUCAGGUGUGUUCAUGUCCUCCUUUGGUUGAUUUCAUGUUCUUUCUUCAAACCCUUCACGUUUUUAUGAGUUUCCUUUUGGGUUUUGAAGUUUUCAAGCUUAAAUCAAGUUUUGGGAGCUUGGAGAACCAAAGAGUUUGUUUCCUCCCAUCUCCAAGUUAGGGAUCGCACCAACCCUCGAUCUUCAAGAGGUAAAUGUAGAUCCUUGCUUUCAUUUAUGUUUAAUAAAGUUUUAAGUAAGUUUGAAGGAAGUUUUAAUGCUUGAGUAUGGGUAGAUAUGCAUGUUAGGAUUUAUGUGGGUUUUAUGCCCAAUGUAUGCUUAUGUGAUGUUUGUGUUGGGGUUUAAGUUAGUUUAUGCCCCUUUAUGCAUGUGGGAGUGUGUAUGCAUGUUUGGGAGAGGGCAUGUGAGGUUUUGGGUGGUUUGGAGGUUGGUUUUGCUUGUGUCGGAUUCGGACCUGCUGUUCGGAGGGAACCAGGUUCGGUCGCCGAAGGUAUGUUCGGCCGCCGAACCUGCAUGGAAAGCAGCUUUGGCUGCCUAACAUGCCCCCGAAGGCCAGGACUUUCGGAUCUGUGUGAGGCUUCGGCAGCCGAACCUGCCGCCGAAGGUGCCAGACUUUCAGCUCUUGAAGGACUUUCAACCGCCGAAAGUGCCCCCGAACCUGCAUGGCUUUCGGCUCUGGAAGGACUUUCGGCCGCCGAAAGUGCCCUCGAACCUGCAUGGCUUUCGGCUCUGGAAGGGACAUUCGGCCGCCGAAAGUGCCGCCGAAAGUGCCGUGUCCAGCCCAUUCUUGGUUGUUUUCUACGUACGUUUUGAGGAUGUUUUAGGGGGUUUUUGGGGAGUUGUAUAUGAGUUGUUGAGAGUGUGUUUGGCACCUCAUUCGAGUACACCUGUGUAGGAUUGGACCCGAGGGACCAAGGAGGCCAGCAGAGUUAGCUGUUGCAGAGUCAGUCCAGCGUCUGCCAGAGGUGAGUAGAACUAACUCAAAUGUUUUAAGCAUGUUCACGCAUCAUGAAUACCAUGUAUAUGUAUUAGGCUAUUGCAUUAGAUUUCACGAAGAUGUUGCAUUGCAUAAUUUGCUAUUGAUGUGGAUGGACCAAGGCGACCCCAAUAGCCCUAGCUAUGAUAUGUUAAUGAAGUCCUGAGGAGCCCCACCGAGGGCCGGGCAUAAUGAAGUCCUGAGGAGCCCGAAGGGUCGGACACUAUGUUAUGUUACAGAAGUCCUGAGGAGCUCCUUUGAGGGCCGGGCACCAUGAUAUGUUACAGACAGAGGGAGUUUUGGUGGUCAUGUCCAUCCGUGAUGCGAAAUGUUUGUGUUGUGACGCAUUCCAUGAAAGCAUGAUUUAUUAUUGUUUUUCUGUUCUGCUCACUGGGCUUUUUAGCUCACCCCUUUCCCCUAACCCCCAGGUUUGCAGGUCAGAGGUAGUCCAGGAAGACGUCAAGUGUAAAUGUCAUGCUUAUGUAAUAGAUUAGUGUUUUAGUGUGGACAUGUAUUGUAAAAUUGAUGUAAUGUAUUGCAAGAUAAUGCAAUGAAAUGUAACGUAAAACAGAGUUAUGUUUAUGGAUUAGUGUUGUGCUUGGCCCUAAGGCUUGGUUAGUCCCUUUUUAGUACAUGAUGUAUGUUAUGUUUUAGUGUUGAGUUGAGUUUGAACCAAACUUGUGGCAUGUGAUGUUUACCACGCUAGGGUAUUUGAUGAGGACUCUAGUGGAGGUUUUAUGCUUAUGGUUUUUGAUGCAUGCACAGGUUAGGUUUUGGUUCAUCGGAUGUGAUCCAAGCUUGAUGUAUGUUAUGUUGACCCAGCUAGAGUUUUUGUUGAGGGCUCUAAUAGGGGGUUCCUUAUGUUUUCAGUUAUGUAGCAUACAGGUCAAGCUCGGUAUAUACAUCAGAUGUUUAAGUUUUUAUGUUAAUAUUUUGAUCAUGUAUGGGAUUUGACCAGGUGAUAGGAUGUAUGUUAGGCUUGCUACGGGUCCCGGCGGCCUUAAGCCGAUCUGGAUCCUAGCGCCGAUAGCGGUUCGGUUUCCGGGUCGUUACAGCGAGGAUCUACACUUACCUCUUGAAAAUCUAAGGUAGAUGCGACCCAAGCUUGGAAUUGAGGAGAAAUGGUCUCCAAACUUUAUAAUCUUGGAUUCAAGCUCAAAACUUCAAAAACAAGAGAAAACUCAAGAAUAUUUUGAAGGAAAAACAACAAAAUCAAUUAUGGGAGGGCAAGAACUCACCUUUGCCCAAAAAUGGAGAGAGAAACUCUCCCAUUUUCGGACUGGAGGCCUCUUAUAGAUGGCUAGCCAGACCACCUUCGGCGGCCGAAAGGAGCUCCCAUGGCAGCACCAUGUUCGGCCCUGGUUUUUUCCCUCCAAAGCAUUUUUCUUUCUUUUAAAAAAUUCUUUAACACAAAAACCAACAGUAAAACCAUAAAAUUCAUUUUGUGAAAAACUUAUUUUACCCUUCUAAGAGGUUCCGACAUCUGAGAUUCCGGAUUCCAACGGGGAUUCCAUUGGAAGUUUGGAAUUCCGACGCCGGAGUCUAGCCGGGUAUUACAUUCUCCCCCCUUAAGAACAUUCGUCCCCGAAUAUUUAACAAGAAAACAUAACAUCAAGAAAACACAUAAAACUUAAAACACUUACCUUAAAAGAGAUAGGGGUAUUGCUGGAGCAUGGACUCCCGGGUCUUCCAGGUGCACUCUUCCAUGUUGUGGUGAUUCCAAAGGACCUUCACCAUCGCGAUUUCCUUGUUCCUCAACUUUCUGAUCUGCGUGUCUAUGAUCCAAACUGGCUGCUCAACAUAGGUGAGAUUUCCUAGGAUCUCUACAUAAGGUUCAUUAAGAAUAUUGCCCGGAUCUGACACGAACUUUCGUAACAUGAAAAUAUGGAAAACCGGAUGGAUCCUCUCCAUAGAAGUACGUAAAUCUAACUUGUAAGAUACAUUCCCAAUCUUUUGUAAGAUACAUUCCCAAUCUUUUGCAAGAUUUCGAAGGGUCCGAUGUACCUUGGAGCUAGUUUACCCUUUUUCCCAAAGCGAAUCACCCCUUUUAUAGGAGACACCUUGAGCAACACCAUAUCUCCCUCCUGGAUCACAACAUGUUUCCUGCGGAUAUCUGCAUAGCUCUUCUGCCGACUCACAACAGUUCUAAUUCUUUUUCUGAUAAUAGGCACUACCCUGCUGGUGAUCUCAACUAAUUCUGGCCCUGCCAAUGCCCUUUCUCCUACUUCUUCCCAGCAAACGGGUGACCUGCACUUCCUCCCAUAUAGAGCUUCAUAAGGAGCCAUUCCAAUGCUAGCAUGGUAACUGUUAUUGUAGGCAAACUCUACCAAGGCUAGAUGUUGCUUCCAAGGCUAGAUGUUGCUUCCAAGAACCUAGCACACACACAUUCUUAACAUAUCUUCUAUCGUUUGGAUAGUCCUCUCUGAUUGUCCGUCAGUCUGUGGAUGAAAGGCAGUGCUAAAGUCCAACCUUGUGCCCAUCGCAUUUUGCAGACUCUGACAAAACCUGGAGGUAAACUGGGGUCCCCUAUCUGACACUAUUGAUACUGGAGCCCCAUGAAGCCUGACGAUCUCCUCCACAUAAACCUGUGCCAGCUUGUCCACAGAAUAGCCACUCCUGACAGGAAUGAAGUGAGCAGAUUUGGUCAAUUUGUCCACUAUUACCCAUAUAGAGUCUAAUCUGUUGGACGUUGCUGGUAAUCCCACCACAAAAUCCAUUGCCACAUUCUCCCAUUUCCACUCUGGAAUCGGUAGUGGGUUGAGCAUUCCAGCUGGCUUCUGAUGUUCUAGCUUCACCCUCUGACAUAUCUCGCAAGCGGACACAAACUGCGCCACUUCCUUCUUCAUAGCUGGCCACCAAUAAACUUUUUUCAGAUCCUGAUACAUUUUGGUGGCUCCAGGGUGAACAUUGUACCUCGCAUUAUGAGCUUCCCUCAUAAUGUCUCCCUUCAAACUUACGUCGUCUGGUACACAUAACCUAUUUCCGUAAUGGAGGAUCCCUUUGUUAUCGAAUCUAAACUCACCGUUCUUGCCUUUCUGAACAGUUCUCGCUAUCUUCACCAACUCGGGGUCCUCAUGUUGUUUCUGUGCCACUUGUUCCAGAAACACGAGUGUCACUCUCAUCUGAGCUACUAGUGCACCUGUUGACUCGCGGUUGUAGAAGCCGGUCAAAAAUAAUCUUUCUGGUUUUCAACAAUCUUACAACUGCAGAUAGUGGUGAAAGGAUCAAAUCCACAGGGAAUUGAAAACUUACCUAUCUUCCUUAUCAAGACCAAGAAAAUAAACCGAAAGCGAAUAAACUGAAAGCGGAAUAAACUGAAAGCGGAAUAAAAUAAACUGCAAGUAAAGUAAAAGGGGGGUUUUGAGAUUGAUGCAAUUAAACUACUACUGAAAGCAAUAAAGUAAAGCAAACCAUAAAAUAAAGGAAUUCAAAUAUGAGAAAAGAUCUAGCUGAAAAAUUGGAUCCACUUCAGUUGUUGGGAUUAAUCAUCGAUACUUAGGUUCUUUUGAUUGAUUCAAUAAAUUAAUUAUGGAGAUGGAAGACGCUUCUCACCACCAUGUCUCUCCUUAAGCAUAAACCAAUUAGGGAACGUCCUCUAAUUAAUUACUAAUCAACAAGUUGCCAAGGAAUGUCCUUGGGCCUUAGACAUCAAAACAACUGUCAAUUGCAUUAAGAAAUAGAGAGACCUAAUUCUAGCUACCCAAACGCAUGGUGAUAUCGCUAGAUCAUGCAAUUUCCUUAGUUUUUACACCAAGUCUUCUUGUGUUUGAAUAAUCCAAGCAAUUACGGACUUAAAACUAUUCAAACUAACAAUAUAUCACUUUGCAAUCAAGAAUCAAUUGGCCAUAUUGAUCAAAAUAACAAAGCAAUAAUGAAAUCAAGCAUGAAAUUGCAUAAAUAUUGAAUAAACAAAAGUUAAACAAUGUGUGUUCAGAUCUCCCAAUCCAUAAAACAACUAAAGUAUCAACCAAUCUUCAAUUAGAAAUAAAGGUUUCAGCCACUCAUGAUUGAAACAAAAACCAAAAAUAAAGAAAGAGAUGAAGAAGAGAUGUGGCCACUUGCAAUCCCGUAGGUGUGUCCAAGGGGGUGUAGAAAAAAGCAUGGGGAGGCUCCUUAUGUAUCUUUUUAUAGUUGAAAGUGUUGCCCUAGGUCCUUACUUGCUGCCUAAGUUGUUAAGUUACUGCCCAUGCCGCCCAUAUCUUGCAUUGAUGAGGUGGAGCCUCUCUUUUGAAUUUUAAAUUUUGAAUGUACAAGACUUGAGGUGGCAUGUGUGACUUCUUUGGCUUCUUUGACAAGCUGAAUUUGAAUUUCAAAUUUGAAAGUGCAUCUUCUAAAGAUUUGGCUUCUUCAAUAAGGAAAAUGAUUCUUGAAGAUCUUGAAUUUCAACCUGCUUUGCAGACUGCACUUUUCUUAUUUGACACUUUCCUUAUUUAGCACUUUCCUUAAUGAGCUGAAUCUUGAAUUUGAAUUUUGAAUUCUCUUAAGGAUUUGAAAUUUGAAUUUCAAACUACUUUCCUUAUUUAGCUCUUUUCAAGUUGCACUUGGCAUGCUUGCUCUCCUUUGCUCCAUUUUAGGCAGUUUUAGGGGCAUUUUCA
This 39098-nucleotide long non-coding RNA is filed under the name Manihot esculenta (cassava). RNAcentral's name for it is "long non-coding RNA (MESC_LNC002266)". Lineage: Eukaryota; Viridiplantae; Streptophyta; Magnoliopsida; Malpighiales; Euphorbiaceae. The record is from RNAcentral.